GCCUGAGUGGUGUGGUGGUAGAGCGUGUAGUGGUAGAGCACGCGUCCCCGGAUAGGAUGAAACGUGGGUUCGAUUCCCGCCUGAGGUU
Parelaphostrongylus tenuis is the source of this 88-nucleotide non-coding RNA. The record is from the annotation of a GenBank genome assembly. Lineage: Eukaryota; Metazoa; Nematoda; Chromadorea; Rhabditida; Metastrongylidae.